AAUUAAAAAAUAAUAAAUUUGCUUCAAAUCGCUUGCCUGGGGGAUUCUGGGGUCCUGGCUGCUUCCCUCCUCCUCCAGCCGCAACAGGCAGAGCAGCAGCACCGGUACAGACACAUAAAUGACGUUGUGAUAGACCAGGCUUACCGGACCUUUCCCUCUAGGAAAAAGUCUGUUUUUCAGUGUGCCCAUUUUAGAAAUAGUACAGGCUUUUGCAAACGCUCAGCUGACUGUGUUUCAUAGAAAAACAGGCAAUAAAAACAUCUACUUUAAGCUGCUUGGGAUCAGAUCCUGCGUUUUUCUCAAGGAAAAAAAAAUCCCAGGGAGUUAAUAGCAAUUCUGUUUCAGAGAGGAGCAGCCUGCGUCUGUCCCAGCACAUGGAAGCAGCUGAGCGUUUCAGCAGAGCAGAAUGAAAGCCCGAUCGUCCGGACGCUGCAGCUCCAUAUCCCAGGGACCAGGUCGGGUAGCUCGCGGCUGAGAUAAUGUUCCCGCAGGUGGAGAGAUGAAAAAUGCCUACAGUGCCUGAUCGUCUGCCUUGUUCCUCCAUGGUGUGGGAUCAUUCCCUCCUGAUUGGCAGCAGCAUUAGUCCUCAGGCGAGCAGCGCGUUGGCCUCGGGAUGGAGACGAGAAGGUCUCGGAAGCCCCGGGCAAGCGGCGGCUCUCUGAUGCAGCGCUUAAAAUCCUCCUCGCCGACGAGCACAGCAGGGCUUGAUGCGUCUCCACUGUGGAGGGAAGCGCCCGGCACUAGGGAGGAGGGUGCUUCACUCUUCUCUCCUUGCUGCAAAAUAUAUAUCGAUGAGCCGCUGGGAACAAAGAAUCAGCAGAAACGCUUGCUGUACUGGCGUGGCGGUGAGACACCUCCAAAAAAUGUAUUUCUUUAGAGGCAGGGGAACGGGAGGCAGGAGCUGCUGCUGCCCAGCUGUUGGCAGGCUGAAGCAGAGUGAUCCCAACCCGGAGAGAUCUCGACCCAGAGAAAUAACAACCCGGAGCAAUCCUGACCCAGAGUGAUCCCGACCCAGAGCAAUCCCAACCAAAGCAAUACUGACCUGGAGCAAUCCCAACCCACAGCAAACCUGACCCAGAGCAAUCCCAACCCACAGCAAACCUGACCCAGAGCAAUCCCGUCCCAGAGUGAUCCCACCCCUGAGCAAUCCCAGCUCAGAGUGAUCCUGACCCAGGGCAAUCCUGAUCCAGAGCAAUCCUGACCUGCAGCGAUCCUGACCCACGGCAAUCCCAACCCAGAGCAAUCCCAACCCAGAGUGAUCCCAACCCUGAAUAAUCCCGACCCAGCGUGAUCCUGACCCAGCGUGAUCCCGAACUGGAGCAAUCCCAAUCUGGAGCAAUCCCAACCCACAGCAAUCCUGGCACAGAGUGAUCCCGACACAGAGCAAUUCUGACCUGGAGCAAUCCCAACCCACAGCAAUCCUGGCACAGAGUGAUCCCGACACAGAGCAAUUCUGACCUGGAGCAAUCCCAACCCAGAGCAAUCUUGACCCAGAGCAAUCCCAACCUGGAGCAAUCCCGACCCAGAGCAAUCCCAACCUGGAGCAAUCCCAAACCGGAGCGAUCUCGACCCAGAGCAAUCCCAAACCGGAGCGAUCUCGACCCAGAACAAUCCCAACCUGGAGCAAUCUCGACCCGGAGCGAUCUCGACCUGGAGCAAUCCCAACCUGGGGCAAUCCCAACCCAGAGUGAUCCCGACCCAGAGCACUCCCGCCCCGGAGUGCUCCUGGCACUGCAGCAGCCCGGAGGCCGGGGAGGCCGGGUGCCCUCGGCCGCCCGCCGGGGAGCUCAGCAGCUCUGCAGGAGUUGGGACGUGUUAGACUCAAGGCUUUGAAAAAUAGGGCACUGCUGCAUGUGCUGCCUUUAAUAUUUUAUACCCGCAGAAUAAAUUAUUGCUUGGAAGCUGGAGAGCGGCACAAGGCUGAGGGAGAACUAAGCUUGAGUUAAAUCCCUAGUAAGUUGAUUUAUUUUGCCUCAUAACGGCAUGCUUGAAUAUUACUUGGUUUAUUAAUUUGGACUAAUAUGUAGUUUCUUAUCUGCGAAACAUAAGCAAGGAAACGCUGUGCUAAAAUUGAUGCCCUGAUUUAUCACGUUCAACCUUUGCAUCUAUACUGCCGUGUAGGAAGACACCGCAAAUGCGACUCUCCCACAUUAAAACCGCUCUGCUUUUGAGCAAUACUGGGGCGAGCCCUUGCCCAGCCGCGAUGCGGCGGGUUGCAGAGGAGCAGCCCGGGGCCCUUCGCUUCCCGCCCAGCAGGACGAGUCUUUCAGGUCAAAGCAGGCAGAGUCGGUGCUGAUAAGCGCAUAGGGCGUGAGCACGUUACGUUCCCGGGCAUAGACAAUUAGCAAGUGACUUUAUUAAUGGUUUCUCUCCACUUAAGGUCUUUGGGCAGGGGCUCCCCGCUGUGGUGCCUUCUCCCCGCCGUGCACAUGCACCGGAGGAGCCGCUGGGGCAGGAGGCAGCACGAGGUGUCGGGAGGCUCUGGGGGCUCCCAGACUUGCGCCUUGCCGGGAGGUCCAUAUUGCAGGAGCUGCUCGUCGGAGAGCAAAGCCACAGGCCAAGCGCAAAGGAGUGGCUAGCAAGGGAAAAAAAAGCAGGAUGGAUUCGUGUUUCUAGGUUUUAGGUUCAGGGAGCUGGACUGGAUGAUUUUCAGAAGUCCCUUCCGACUUCAGUUAUUCUCUGGUUCUGCCCAGUUCCCAAGCUUUGGCGUGCACACGAGCAUAUCCGACACGCAUGGUUUUUCUAAAAUGCAAUGCCUUCCUCCGAAAGUAGUGAAGACAACCCUGAAUCAUGAUUUUGUCCUCAAUCUCAGAAGCUUUUCCCCAAAAAUUCCCGUUCCUGAAGCCGUCCGACUGUGGGAAAUUUGGCUGCCUUUUUUUCUGAUGUCGUUUAAAUAUGUUUCUCCUUGUCGGGCGCUGCAGAGCUGGACCCGGCUGCACAAGAUGCAGGCUGCAGUGCGUGGGGGCACGGGGGCCCCAGGCUUCCACGCUGGGAGCAACUGGUGUAACUGGGAGGACUCUCACUCAACCAACGGGAGUGCAAUUCACUUACAAAUCUGUCAUUUCCUGGCCAAUUUGACUGAAAUCGUAGGGGAAUUAGGGAACUAGGGUGACUUUUUUAUCUACUUUUAAAACAAAAACCAGACUUAAACGUGCAAGCGGGCGCAGUUUUGAGUGCAGAGCCUGUACGUGCAGUUGCUGCUGAGUGCGUGCAUCCAUGCAAAAAGUGAAUACGGCGGGUUUUAAAAUCUGUGCCAAAAUAUCGAAGUCUGACCUCGUGAUCAGAAAUCACCAAAAGGCCAUCGGUCAUUUUUAUUGAAUUGAAUGCAUUCAAUUUAAUGGCCACAUAUGACUUAUUUUCAGGAAUAUAAGUGUUACUCAGGAAAUCAGUUCUUUUAGGGGCAAAACUCCUCUAUUAAUGACAAAAAAUGGAUGGGACUCGUUAUGGUGGAGGAAUUAGUCGUUUGAGCAGCACGGCUUUGUUCAGCUGGAAUUCAAGCCAGCAAACUCUGCGUAAAUGUAUUAGCCAACUGCAAAAAGGUCAGCGAUUGCUUGUUGCUGGAGCUACAUUUCCACGCUGCUUCUUUUCAAAUCAGGAAAUUAUAGUGAUCAGAUUUUGCAUCACAAAUACUGUUUUUCUGGCACUCAUGGUUUCUCGCGCCCCUGCUAACGCCCUGCUUUGCGUGUUGGUGUGGCUGUGGAUGCCGCACGGGAGUUUGCCAUGCAGCGUAGCAUGGGCAGCCGGGCAAAUAGCUCGUCGUGCAAUUCUGUGCGCUCUCCUCGCGCAUGUACGUGCAUCCUGGACGCCAUCCGCUGUGGACUGUGCACGGAGCAUGGAAAACAUCCCCUUCAUCCACCAGCCCUGCAGCGUGCCAUCUGCUUGCACUGUGACUUUGCUUGACGAGCAAACCGGGGCGAUGGCGGGGGAGCGGGAGCUGCAGCUGCAGCAGGGCUCCGCUGUGCAAAGAGCACCCGGGAGCUCCCGCGGGGCCAAAGCCCGCCUGGAGCCGCUUCUCCGGCCUCGUCCCCUUUCUUCCUCCUCCCGCCGGCGCUGCCGCCCUGGGAGAGCCCAGCUGCAGCUGCGAGGGCUUUCAAGGCCCUCGGCAGCUUGCUGGGAGCUCAUGAAUAUUUUGCUUUGGCCUCGGUUCCCCUCGCAUUAGCUCCUCACCGUGCGAAAGUGCUCACGUGUCGCCUAUGUGUGACCCUGCGCAGUCUCAGCAUCUCCACCUGGAAGCCACCGGUGAAGGAGGAGGGACGUGGACGAUGCUGGCUCCUGUGCCGCUGCUGGGGUGAGGGUGCAGCUACGGCACCUUUGCAGGGGGCUCCUAGGGCAAAGACACCCCUCCGCCGUGGGCAGAAACAGCCACGUCCAACUUCUUGCUUUCGUAAUCUUCUCAAUGCAAAGAAACAGAGAGCAGUUGAGGUAUUAAUUUUGUGAGCUAUUGCAGUUUUUUAAUGGCUAGGGUUUAAUGGGGCCAGCCACUCUGCUUUUUUUUUUCCCCUGCAGAAAGACCCAUCCCCUUUCACAGUCAGGCCUCAUCAUCCUCAGGUUGUGCAUCUGCAACUUAAAAUAUAUCACUGUACAUCGCUUUAGUGUAGACCGCAUUCAGUCCUCACCCACACGUGAUGGUAUUGGAAGCUCCCCUCUGCAAAAGCAGCUUUUUCUUGGUUGCCAGGGCAACAUUGUUCCCCAAAUCCGGGGUUUUACGUGCUUUUUGGAGCAGCUCCACGGAUAAGGUUAUUGCACGGACCCGGCGGCCGCUUGCCGUGCCGCUUGCCGGGAGCCCUCCGAGGUGCUGGCCGAGCUUGCGCUCACGGACGCCUGUGCUGUGCCAGAAAGCAAAAUGUGGUUAAAAAGCCCACGCCGUGCCGCUUUCCUGCUUGCACGCUAAUGCUAUUUGCGUAUAGGUGAAUAAACAGCAGGCAGCGGCGAGCCUCUGCGAUGAGCGCCACCUUCAAAGCCAUCCUGUAUCCCGCUAUGGAGGCAAUGCAAAGUUGUAGUUACUAUAUUACAAAAGGAUUAUAAUCCAAAACUAUAUAUAAGGGCAAAGCGUCAUGCAUCCCUGCUACUGCCUCCCAGACAAGCGGGCUCUGCUCGGGCGGGCUACAUCGUUCGUUUAUUUUCUUCCUUCAAAAGAUUUUUCAUGCAGUGCAAGGAAUUAAAUCUAAAAAAUCCCCAAAUUAAAGGGCUCCUGCCUUCCAUUCAAGGCCGUUAAUGAGGUUUUGGGCACUUUCACUUAGCCUUGUCUUUGCAUGGGACUGCAGCAGGGUCCUUCAGGGACUGUCGGGCAGAAACAUCCCUGGAUUCAUCGGGGUUCACCCAUCCCUGGCCUUGCGCUUUGCGCUCCAGUGCAGUAAAGCUGAAAUCUGGCAGCUGGCAGAAGACCUUUAUUAAUAUCACCCGGCUGCACUGUGCCCCUUUCUUUUUCCUUAUUCAUCCUGAGUUUCUAGCAUCCUCUAGUCAUGAUGUAGAAAAGGCUUCAGCAGUUCAAACCUCCCUGCUAAUUUAUGGCCAGGCUAAAUCCUUGCAGCGUCUCUAAGGGAGCCUUGCAGGCCCCCGGGAGCGCCAGGCUCUUCCAUUCAAUUUCGUCUUCUCUGUGACUCAGUGGCUAGUAUUUUAAUACAUAAUUUCAUUCAAGACUUCUCCAUACCUUGGAAAGAGCAAUGUUUAGCUUGCCAGGCUUGCUGCCUGCAAAACAGCAGCGGCUCGUUUGUCACAGCCACAGACUGUGCAUGUGUUUGAACAAAGCUAACUGCACGCUGCACGUGCACCUGCCGCAUUUCACCACGUCCACUGCCUGCAAAAGCUCUGACGCUUUUAAUUGCUUACAGUAAUUGCAUUAAUUCUAUUUAAACUGGCCGCUCGUUUCCACAACCUUUGCAUUUUGCAGCAUGAAUCCUGAUCGAGCUGGAAAUGGGCACCGACUGUCUCCAAAUGUGUUUAUUUGUCUCAAUACACCAAGCAGGCGCUGAUAGCAGUCUUUCACUAAAGAAAACGACUUCUCUGCUCAUUGGCAGCUCAUAGCCAAAACCACGAGGGUCAUGUUUUUGCAUGAGAGAGCAAGUAUUCCCGGAAAAACGCACGCACAGCCCUUGUGCCCAUGAGUUUGGGGUGUGCAAAACGAGGAUUUGUAUUUAGAUGUGGAUCCAGCUUGUGCAGACAGCUAAUGUGUGCAUGCGGCCGUGCCAGUGUGGUGGGGGCUCUUCUUUGGGGAAAGAAAUGCAAAAAAGAACCAGGUCUUUCGUCAUAGACUUGAGGAGCUCCCUGUGCCUCUGUUCCCGGGGAAGAGCCUGCUCCCGGGCGAGCGCUGCUGGUCGGGGCACGUCCUCGCCCAAAACCUGCCACGGGCACUGCUAGACCCGCCGGGGCUGCGCAGUUCCUCUGCGCUUCUGCAAAAUGUGACAGCAGGAACCUGCGUCGGUGCCACCGCGCUGAUUCGGAGCAUGCAAAUCGCUUGCCAGCUCCUCGAUGCUAAAAUGAUCAAUACUUGCAAGAAAGAUGCUCAUCGCUUCUGCGUAGCAACGGCCUCAGGAGCAGCAGGCGGUGUUUAACGGAAAGGCAACGGGAUGUUGUUUACCCUGGACGUUACUCCUGAAAUAACGAGUGCAGCUCAUUUUCCCUCCAGCCCUGCCUGCCUUAGCAGCGCCUUUCGCAGGCUGCUGGGGGCCCAGCGAUGCUCUCCCCUGCAGCAGCUCGGGGGCACCAGGUUUACCCCAGAUCCAUGCGUGCUUCCAAACCCGCUAUUUUGCCUAAAGCUGCUUUCGAAUUUGAGAUAAACUCACUAAAUAAUGCAAGCCAAAAAGGUGCUCUAACCCUGCAGCUCGGUGCAGUUAAGCAGGGCUCCUGCUCCUUCGCCGUCCCCGCGGCCGUUUCACACGCGAAACCUCUCCGGCAGCCGGCGAGGGGAGAAAAAGCAAUGAAAUACAUGAAGACACUCUCUUAAGAGGAAAGGUUUGGCAUUAAAUAUGCAUGGGCUGGUUUAGCAAUUACCAAGGGGCAAGUGAAUAUCUAGAGAGGGAUGAAGUUUGUGGGCACCAGGGAUGCAGAGGAAUUAUUUAGCGUGGGAAAGCGCAUGGGGAUAUAUUGUGAAGUAAUAGGAUGAAAUGAGGUAGUAGAAAGAGAUCGGCUGGAUAUCAAGAAAAUCUGCAGAGUAUUGACAUGAAUAAUUACUGGGAAGCUGUGCAAAGCUCAUUGCCUGAAACGCGUGUCUGGAUUUUCAAGGGAACAUGGAGGGGUAGAUGGGAAAAAGUUGGUUAGAUAGAAAUAGCAUGAAACCAGUUCUGCUCCGCUACAGCUGAAUUGCAGUUAAAAAGUUGCAGUUGAAAAUAAUCUGGACGGUUCCCCGCAGGGCACAGACUGUGCUGUCUGCUCAGCGCUGAAGCAAGCACAACCUCCGCCCUGGCUUGGGGAAGCAGACGAGACACUGGGAAUAGCUGGCGGAGCUGGGAAGCGCGACUUCAAAGAGUCGCGUUUCUUCUUCUUGUAAACAGUAUCAUGCAUAUUCCUGUUAUACAGCCUCACUUUAAUUAGCUUUAUUUUUUUAGACAAAAAUGCCAGCCCCUGUUUGCAUCCUCAACCCGUUCUUUCCAUGUGCUCCAGAUAACAUUUCACAAUGUAGUUAAAAUAACUUGAUGUUAUUAGAGCAGUUGGUAGUUUCUUAAUUCAGUGUGCGCCUUAAAAAUUAUAAAAGAUAAUAAUCUUUGCUUUAUACAAUGAAUUUUGAUACUAAUAAUGUACUCAAUAUGAUUAUAUCAUGUAGGUUAUCAUUUAGUCUAGUCGGUGGUUAAGAAACCCAAGUCGCAUCCAGCAUCCCACGGUGCUAGGAGCUACGCAGAGCUAGAACAGCUCCUUCAGACAUUCAUUGUAUCGGCAAAACUAUUAUCUCUCCAAAAGUCAUCUAUUAUUUUAAUGGUUUCACUGAAGUAGUUAUCUCUCUUCAAUUACAAAUUCAUAGUCUUUCCCACUGUAAUACAUUUACUAAAAUAAUUGCAUUAUAAAAUACGGUACAACUGGGUAAUCAAUGUGAGUAAUUCUGAAUAAUAACUGUGCAGUUUGUAAUGUAAUUUUAUUUUAGCUUGCUAAAGGACGUGCACAGAGAGGUUUGGUUGUGGUCUGAUGUAAGGCUCAGGGGACAAAGACAGGAUGAGCUAUCGGGUUCCCUUGACAGGAUGAAUCCAGUCUGUCGGAUCCAACUCUCCUUCGGGGAACAGAUUGUUUCGUUACUUUCUGCAUCCCCCAUGGCUGGUUUUUCUUCGUGGUCCCGUAGAAGUAGUGUAUGGACUCCCAGGAGGUCAGCAAUCACAGAUGGAAAACCAGUGUUUAGUUGUGCGAAGGACGCACAGACACCUGAUCGCGCGGAGGUAUGGGCUUUGCAUCAGCUCCCGAGUCACAGAACGAUGGGCUCCUGGCAGGAUGCGAAGAUCUCACAGCCAGCGGCACGGCUUCUCGGCCACACACGGAGCUGGUGUUGCCUGAUCUCUCUGUCCAUCCGUCGCGUGUCCAUCCCUUUGCGACAUGAGUCUGUAAGCAGAACGGUACCCAGUUUACCCUGGGUCAGGGUUACCUCUUCCUACCUACUGCCUUCCUGCGGGUCUGGACUUCGCUCAGUGUUGUGCACUCAGCUCUCUUUUUGGACCUAACUCAUACUUGUGUCUGCAGAAAGCCUCGCUGGUGUGCAAGGACACUGAAAUGGUAACCGCUAAGUAAGUCUGCUGUUUGCAUUACACUGAUCCGUGCUGGAGUAACGUUGCACUCAUGCCCCCCAGCAACACUUUGGAAACAAGACCCCAACCUCUGAGGCCAUCUCAGGAAGCCUCUUUAAUGUAAAUAUGGUGCCUACCAAAGGGAACACCAAAGAGGACAAGGAAGCGAGGAUUCAAAUGCACAGUACAUCUCAAUACACAGUUCAUGACCUCCUGACUUUGGUGCUCUGUUGUUCGUGGUGAAAAUGUGGUCAAAGAAUAUAUAUGGACAGUGAUGCAUGUAUUAACUGUGUGUACAGCUGAGGUCCUCCCACAUGGACGGAAGUGGUGAGCAGACGCGAUCUACUCGAGUAGGUCCUUGAGCUCAGAAAUUUGGAGCAUUGUCAUGUAGGUGCUUGCAAGAUGUUAAAGGAUGGGUCUGAAUCCCAGACCAGGGGUGUAAGGACGUUGCACCGCUCUCACUAAGAGCACCCACACGCUCUGGAAUGAGAAAGGCCUGGCAGGUUUCCUCCUGGCAGGAGUACGACGCGGGUCAGAGAGCGUGCAAACUCCUUCAGCAGAGAAUAAUACAUUUGCUGCACAGAUUGGCACAGGCUGACAUCCACGUCCGAAAGAAACAUUCAGCGAAAGCAGGAAGGGACCGCGCGGUAACAUGCCAGGAAGUAAAAUGAGAUUAGCUACUGGGUAGGUCCGGGUGCAGCAGAACUGAAAUCAUGGGAGUCGGAUUAGAUCGCCGUCAAAAAUAUCACUCACCGGCUGCCUACUGCAUCCGCCAGGGCGGGGCUGAGAGGAGGAAAGGAAAAAAGUAUGAUUCACCCUCUCGUGCCGCGUGUAGCCCCACUUCUGGGAAAGGCCAGGGCGCAGGAGAAGGCUGUUUGAAGUUCUCGCCUCGCCCACUAAAGCACACUCGGUAACCACAAGCAUCGUGGUAUUUUGUUCCACAGGGGUUGGUUAAGAAGGAAGAAGAAACGGCAGUACACAUACCACAAUUUAAGCCAUCAUAUAUACAUGCUUAAUAAUGAAGAUGACUCAAUUCUGACAUUAUUUUGCUAAGACUUCUGUAUAAAUAGUUUAUUAGGGUGAAUGGGACAGAUGAUGUUUUUUGACCACGACAUCAGUCCUGGCUCCACUGUUUGCUCACCUCUUGCAGGGGUCGAGCGGGACCCGCAGAGCUUUCCCUCUGCAGCCACUUCUCCCGGGACCUCGUCAGUGGGACUGGCACAGGCAGACACCUCCCAGAAAUCGGACAUGGGAGCCUUUCCAGAGCACCCGGGGAAAUGCCCCAAGUUCUCCUGGAUGAGUUCUGCUUUGGGGCUGGGCGGCUGCUCAUGCAAAGGUGAAAUUGUGAGGGUUACACAGCCGAACAUCGACUUUGCUGCACCUGAACACCACUGCGUCAGACUGUCUCCAGCAGGACAGAGCAGGAGGGACCAGCGGCCGCAUCUGGCCUGAACAACCUAGACAUCCCCGCGUGAGCAUGGCGCACAAGAUCGUCCUGGAUGUAUGCUGGGGAGCAGGGUGUGCGCACAGAGAAGGGUUCGACCGAGGCCACAGAAGCAGCCGGGGACACAACGGGGCUGGACGCAGCUCCGUGGACCUCAGGACCUCCCGCCGCACCAUCGCUCUGCCCAGCGCCCACCUAACCCACAGGAUGCAACCGCAGCGAGCGGCUAUAACGGCGCCGUGGCUCCGUCUUCCCAGUCAGUACCUGCUAAUAGACAACCGGGAGCAAGGACACGACAGGCCCUCCAGGGCCAUCGGCUCCCCGCCAGCUCUGCCGCUGCCCUGCCUGCCCCCAGCCAUGCCGACCGCGGCGCCCGGCUCCCGCGGCUAUUCCUGCUGCCUGGCCACCGCAGCUCAUUGCUCCGCAGAGUGAGUCCUGCUAGUUGCAACGAGCACCAGGUUUACAACGAGCACCAGGUUUGCCGCUGAUUUUCAUCGAGACAGGAAAGCGUUACAGAUUAAUAUCAUUCUGCGUGUGCCUGUUUAUCUAAAAUUAGGACUGAGCUGAAUAACAUUUCGGUUACAAUUUGGCUAUAUGUGGUGCUGAGCAAGCCAGCUAGACAGAGCAAUGCCGAGGCUCAUUCAGUCCUGCUGACUGCAACGUCAACACUCCCAGAUCCAGCACGGCCAGUUUCCACCAGUCCUUUCCUCUGUGUGUGAAUUGGGCAAGAAAAGAUUUUUUUUUAAGCAGGUAUUCUCAGUUCAAUGUUCUCUCCAAUUUGCUUGACCAGUUAUUUAUGCAGUGAAAUGUGUUUUGUUCUAUGUGUUUGCUGUGGCCUGCCAAUUACAAAUACUGCUUUGGAUAUUCAGCAUUUCAAAUUCAGUAAUUAAGCCCAGAUCACAUGAUACAGCUUCUCUUCCUGAAAAUUCAUUGUUUCUGGGAAAGUAAUGCAAAGUCAUGUAGGUAAACUUACCCAAAGACAAUUAAUUUUGAGUGGCAACUGUCAUAAUUUGAUGUACAAUUCAAAAUUCACAAGUUGUAGGUAUUUUGAGUGUUGAGCUUUAAAUUCCUUUUCUAUGAACAUUUAUGUGGCUCCUUAAUGACUGCAAAUAGAAAAAUUAAAGACCAAAAGAAGAGAGAAUUGAAAUUCACUUUUAAAAUGAAUAUUUUAUUACUGUUUUCCUGCUCAUAGUCAUUGUGAGAGGAUACUAAAUAAUUUUUUUCAGUGCUAGCUUUUAUUUUAAGAAAAGCUAUCUGCCUGCAAAAUGAAGCAUAAUUCAUUUGUAUUCUCUUCUCAUAACAUACAAUACGCAGAAAUAGAUCAUCUGAGCAAAAGAGGAACAACAGGAAACUUUUAUUGGCAAAAAAUUGGGUUUGCAAAAUUGCGAAGACAUCACAGAGACAAAAAGAAAACCCUGGAUAUGUAGUUACGAGUUCUUAACAAAGCGGCUUAGGCUCUACCAUGAGCCCGUCCCUUAUUUUGCAGUAGAAAAUUUGCAUCCAGCAUUUGGUACAGUAGUUGGAGGCCAGGCAUUGAGAUGUCCAUUCAUUCCCCGUUACUCUUCUCUCCAGCUCCUGAUGGAACAAGGAGGAAGACGUUUAAGUAGCAUUUGUUCAAGACAAAAAAAUUGGGCAUUUUUUUUUUUGAAGUUUCAUUAUUGCACCUCAAGAAACGUGCUCUUACCACUGAGCUGAAGCCUAUGUAAUUAGGAGAAAGCAAAGAAAGGUAUUAUUUCUCACUUGUCAAAUCAGAAGCGGAGUUUCUCUGGAGGAUAUACCUGAUCGUGGCCCGCUGUGUUGCACUUCAUUUUAUCCCCAGUGCACGUGUCGUAGUCCUUAGACAUUUUAGCUGCUGGGGUCAUUACAACAGAGAUCUUUCAGAGCCAGCAGAUAAGGGUCUGUUUCUUAAUUCAGAUGAAACAUGGGACUGCUCCUGUCAGGGAGGACUAUACAUAUGAGAAAUGGCUUGCAGGAGCGAGCCUUUCACUGCGAUUAUAAAGACUCUAAGGAAUGUUUCCAUGGUAAAAUAAAAUAUAUUAGCUUUCUAAAGAGGACAGGAUCCUCUGUGUGAAGCCCUGAAUAUUGCUGGUGCUGCAGGCACUGAUAGUGAAAAAGCUGAAAUGUGAAACCUGCAGAUGAAAAGAAGAAGAAAAGAGAGAGGUGAAAGAACUAAUAAAAGGUUUGGAAGGGUUUUAAGAUAUUUUAAAAUACUUGUUUCUGCCAGGCUCUUGGUUUGACCAAACCAUUCCAGCUGCCAUGGAGGAAACCAGAACAGCUAGGAAAACAAGAAAGAGAAACAGAACUGUCACAGAGCUUGAGAAUGAUGCGAAAAAGCCUGCUUUCCUCUCAUUAAUACCCUUUCCAUAGCAAUGCAUAUGGUUAGAGGGGAAAUAAACUUGCAGAGAAAUUUGAGCAAGCCGUGGUUGUUGUAUCUAGAGCACCGUCAGGGGAACGAUGAACACGGAUGGCCAAGCGGCAGCCCCAGCGCUGGAUGCAAGGCACGUUUCUUGCUCUCGAUACCACUGGACAGCUAUUCAAGCUUGUUUCAAUGCCCAGGCUAAGAAGCUCUCCUGGACUGCAGGAUAACCACACGCAAGUGGCUCUGCAGAAGCCACCUGGGAUCCAACCGGGUCACUGCUGAGCAGGAGCUAACAAGGCUUGAUGAAUGUGAUGUGAAUUUGUGCCAUUGAUUGCCUCCGUGCUGCAUCUUUAUUUCACAUCAUAUGCUUCCAUUUAAACAUGAAGAGCUACUUCUUGUCAAAGCUUCGAAGCACUUAGGCCACAUUUGUCCCUCUUGGGCCAAAUCAUCUGUUCUUUCACCAAAGUAGGUACCACCUAACUCUCCCGCUCCGUGUUUCCCAGUUAGGUCCACCGCUGUAUCUACCAGCCCAAAGCGCGUCCCAGAUACCCCAGGUGAUCUCAAAGGGCACAACGUGGCAGUGUGCGUGGCUGGAGACUUCAGCCCCAGCUUCCUGCUUGGCUCGUACUUUGCUUUUAUUUUUCCCUCCAUCAGCACUCUCCUGCCCGAGUGGCUGCUUUUACCGCAUUUGUGCUAGCUUUUGGGUGAGAAAUGAUGCUUUUUUCUCGAGCAGAAUUUCUAACAACGGAAGGGCACAGCAUUGAGAGCAAGGACCUGCGAGGACCAACGCCGCCGAGGCCGGCGCUGGAUGCUCUGCUCUGCCCCGGGCUGCACAGCCUCUUUAAACACACAUUUUCUUUUCAGGGCUUAAUUAGCCAGAAGACAUCUAGAAGCUUUUUCCAGUGGGUCAUGAUUUUAUGGAAAUCUUGUUAGAGUGAUUAAUUUUUAUCAGGGAUAAAGCUCUCCUCUUUCUCAGAACUCCACAUUAUUUUCCAGCCACCGACAGAUCGGACCCACACAGCACAUUAAAGAGCACUCUGUUUCCAGCUUUUACAGAUUAAUUCCAUUCAGAGCUUUUUAGCCCUCUCUGUACUACACGUAAUAAGAAAAGAAGAGCAUUUGGUGCAAAGAAAAGUUUUCUUUAUGACUCCUAGCUAAAGUCUUCCAUUUGAUAUUCUGGACGGAAGUAUAUAUGAGUAUAUAUAAAUACUCCAAGUAGCUAAUCCCUUGUACAAAGCUAUGUUAGUGAUUUUUAAGUGAUUACAGCUGGACUGCAUAGCUUCGAUAGGGAUGUGGUGGUGUAUCUCAGAAUUAUCCCUGUCCUCUGCCUCUGCGACUGACUCUCAGGCACCCUCGUGAGAUGACUCCUGUGGACGCUGGAGGCCCUUAGAGGGGAUCUUUAUACUCACCUCGUCUGCAGCUCUGCGUAGUGCAGGGCAUGGACUGCCAGAUCAGUGCCUCCGCAUCCACACAAAUCAUUUUUGUUCAAACUAGAGCAAAUAAUUUUGAGCUAUUGGUUCAGAGAACAGUGGCUUUCUCCUACAUUUCUCCCACUCCAUUGGCUGACUUUUCCACUGAAUUAUACCAUUCUUUGUAUGAUGUUAUUGGUACAUAUCUUUGCAUAUCAUUAGUAGAUACUUCUUUUUUCUUUUAUUCCAGCAGAGAUUUUGGCCACGAUACUCGGGCUGCUUCUUUCUGCUGUAGAAAGUGCCUGGCAGCAUCAAAAGGGUUUUGGGAUGAACCCUGGUCUUUCCUCGUCUUUGCCACAGCUCCCCGGUUUUGCUCUUUACCUCCACUGACCUGCAGUACUGUGUACUAUGCUAUGUGCAAUUACUAUCUGUAAUUACUACCUGUAACACUACAAAGCAGCAGGGACCUGAGCCCCGUGUUGGCACGGUGAGGCUAUGCCUUUCCAGCCAUUCCAGGAAACCCCCUCUGCAUCAGAGCAGCUUCUUCCCCUAACCUCGUAAUUCACUCAGUGGACAAAUCAGCAGAAAAUCCUGCAAUGACGGCGUUGACUGAUGCCUCAGGAGACCAUAACUAACACUGCAGGAAAAGUGGGGAACUGUGCGUGAAGCUGAGUGCUUUCCUUCAGCCUAUUUUUCAGAGUUUAUUGCAUAAAAGUGUUUCCAGGGACUGUUAAAGCAAAUUUUCAGCCAGCUCUACAGAAACAAAGGAUUGGCUUGCUCAAAAGAGAUGCAGCUUAGGCCUGCGUGAAAGAUUUGUCUGCUGCGUUUUGUUCUGUUUAUGCAAGGUUUCCAUGGAUAAUAUGAAAAUGCCCAGAGGAGACUUGGGGAAAAGGAGCCCACACGGAUGCAGUAUGUUAAGCUGUUAUAAAUUGACUAAUCUCAGCUGAAGUGAAGAUAAUGGGACAGUUCUGCUGAAAUCAGUGCAAGUAUAUUUUCCCACCACAGCAGCCCUAGGUAUUGAAAAGGGACAUUAGGGCAUUUCAGACUGGUCAGUACUUACUAACUGCUGCUUCUGAGUCUGCAGCAAGUGGCAGUCACAGCAGACCAAGUCAAAAGCAAGGAACCGGUGCAGUUCAACGCAGGCCUUAUGAUACAGCUUUCCUCACCAUUAAUAAAUAAAUGCAUAUGCACAUAAUAAUUUAGGUGUUGCUAUUUAGUGUUUGCAACAUCAAAGUGAUCCUGCUUUGUUUCUGAACUUUUAGGCAUAUCAGAUAUUUAAAACGUUGCAACACAGGGAAUUAUUAAAAAUGGGUGCAUUUCGAAGUAAAACAAUAGAGCCAAUUUAGGAAAAAAAGUGAUUGAAAUUACUUUGCAAUUGUAGAUUGCAUUCCUGACUAGACAGAAAUGCUCAAGGUAGUUAUCUGCUGGCCUUGAAAAUAUUCUUUUUUAUCCUCACAAGGAAAAUAUAUAUUUUUUAUUUUUAAUCCCAGGCAACUUUCUAGAUACAUGUAUUUUUUUUUUUCAAAAUUCCUGAUACUUGGUAGCAAUAAAUAAAUAAAUCAAUCUGGGCA
Molecule: long non-coding RNA, 15485 nt
Organism: Dromaius novaehollandiae (emu)
Lineage: Eukaryota; Metazoa; Chordata; Aves; Casuariiformes; Dromaiidae
Exons: 4
Source: RefSeq, a predicted model, not a curated record